RNAcentral lists this long non-coding RNA (952 nucleotides) under Triticum aestivum (bread wheat). RNAcentral describes it as "long non-coding RNA (TAES_LNC002550)". Lineage: Eukaryota; Viridiplantae; Streptophyta; Magnoliopsida; Poales; Poaceae. The record is from RNAcentral.
CAGCAAAUAAGUUGGUGAGUAUAAGCUACAAUUCUAUAUAGACACUGUAUUCCAGGAGUACAAAUAUUCUGGUGCAAGUUCAUUUCGACUUUCUAAUACUACAGAUCUGUUAAAGAGCAUCAAAACAGAAAAGGAGCUGAAAAAAUGAGCUGCUAAUAUUACCAACGGAAAAUCACAUACACCCACCAGAAAGGCAACACCAUUGGUGCUUCUUCCUAUGCAAGCUACUUGGAAAAUUUCCUUGAGGUACACCUCAAACAACUAGCUGCAGCACAAGUGAAAAAUGGGCAGUUCUUAUGCAAGAACCUCCUUCAGCUUGGCCUUCUGGUCGUCCGUCAGGGUUUUUGGGAACAACACCUCGAACGUCACAUACAGAUCACCUUUCUUGUUGCUUUGGUGCAAUGGCAUGCCCUCUCCUUUGAAUUUCCUUACCUCCUUGGGCUUAGUGACACCCUAACAAUUUGUAAUGGAGCAGAGUAGAUUAGAUGCAGUCAGCCUACAAGAUGCAAAAUGAAUGGUGUACUGUUGAGCAUUUGGUGACUUACCUGGGAGCCGAUUUGGACAAGGUGGUUGUCAAGAUGCUUGAGGUUCUUCUCAAAUCCAACCAGAGCUUGGAGCUGUAGCAGCAAAAGGUAAUCAAAUCAUGAGAGAUGUAGAACAGCAAGGUCCAUACUGAACACGGUAAGAAGAGAAAUUUGGUGGAUUAAGCGAAGUAGGAUUCAGAGGAUGACAAAUGCACACAGGAAGUAAUCUAGAAGUAACUAAAUAACAGCAAGGUCCAUACUGAACACGGUAAGAAAAUAGGACAAAAUGGAACCUAAAUGUUAGAGUGAUCACUUUGGAAUGGGAAUGUGCAAUAAUCAGUUGGAGAGUUCACUGUUUGAUAUAGGGUGUAGCAAGGGGGUUAUAACUGGAGUAAUGAGUGCCCAAUUUACAGAGAUGUGAUAGCAUC